Molecule: ribosomal RNA, 274 nt
Filed under: uncultured bacterium
Lineage: Bacteria
Description: partial 16S ribosomal RNA
Rfam family: Bacterial small subunit ribosomal RNA
Source: RNAcentral
AUACGGAGGGGGUUAGCGUUGUUCGGAAUUACUGGGCGUAAAGCGCACGUAGGCGGAUUGGAAAGUUGGGGGUGAAAUCCCAGGGCUCAACCCUGGAACUGCCUCCAAAACUAACAGUCUAGAGUUCGAGAGAGGUGAGUGGAAUUCCAAGUGUAGAGGUGAAAUUCGUAGAUAUUUGGAGGAACACCAGUGGCGAAGGCGGCUCACUGGCUCGAUACUGACGCUGAGGUGCGAAAGCGUGGGGAGCAUACAGGAUUAGAAACCCCGGUAGUCC